GGCUGUGACACUGAUGAUUGCUGGAUGAAUUCGACCAUCUCUUACCUGUCGGUGGACAAGCAAUUAUUCACCGUGAUUGUGGACGAUAUGUUGCGAAACCCACCAGAUUCAGACAUAGAUUUAAUUUUUGAUGUGGUUCAAAAGAAGGCUCUGUUCCUCAAAUUGAAGGAACAUCUGGUGCCAAAGAUGCUGAACCAGUCUCUAUACUUAAAGCCCGAGACUCUGGGAAACUGCCACAACUAACUUGGGUUGAAGAUCGAAGAGGCUUGGAUGAUAUAUCAGGUCCAGAAUUUAGUGGGCUUGGUCAUAUGGUCAAGCUUCGAAAGCUGACGGGUCACCAUCUACGUCAAACGGGCUGGACACGAAUAUCGUCAUAUAUAGUUCCUGAUGUAGAUGACGAAGCUGCUCCAAAUGAUAUCCCUCGGGAUGAAGCAGAAAAUUCGGCUCAACAUGGGCCCAAUGUGGAAGUGGCAGCUGUUAACUCCCAGGCUGGGAUGUCAAGAAAGAGGCCAGCUAGUACUAUGGAGGCCCAUGAUUCUGAUAGUACAUUUGUACGUAUCACACCCUUCUGCCCACAGGGAAGGGCCUGGUAACUUGGAUCCGAACUAUGAAU
Molecule: long non-coding RNA, 613 nt
Organism: Helianthus annuus (common sunflower)
Lineage: Eukaryota; Viridiplantae; Streptophyta; Magnoliopsida; Asterales; Asteraceae
Exons: 3
Source: RefSeq, a predicted model, not a curated record